Long non-coding RNA from Bactrocera oleae (olive fruit fly), 457 nucleotides. RefSeq lists it as uncharacterized. NCBI's taxonomy places the organism in Eukaryota, Metazoa, Arthropoda, Insecta, Diptera, Tephritidae. The record is from RefSeq and is a predicted model, not a curated record.
UUUGUAUUUACUUUUUGAAAGUUUAAAUAUAGUUCUAUGCAUCAUUUUAUCAAUAUUUCCGGUGUGAACGAUUUUAAGUGUUCUUUCUUUUAGUUUCAGUGUUGUCUGCGCGAAUGUUUAGGCAUUCUCAAACAACCUAGUUUUAUUUGGUAUUGAAGAGCCGAAAAAUCUACUAUAAUCACCAGUGGCUUAAGUUUAUUUGAUGAACGGAAUAAAGAGAAUGUGCCUGUCCCAAAUGAUAACUAAAAAGCUUCAACAUCCAAAAAAAAAGCAUCCACGAUUUAUCUAUUUAUUAUUUUAAGGUGGAAGAAUUGCGUAGUAAAAUCAAAACAUUGAAUAAAGAGCAUAAUCGUCAAACAUUUACUCUGUAGCAACAAGUUGCGAGAUUAUAAAAAUAUUUGCUGCUUUACUUAUAUGGACUACGCUCCUCUGCAAAAUAAAUUUUUAUUGCUUUAAA